CCUACGGGUGGCAGCAGUGGGGAAUAUUGCACAAUGGGCGCAAGCCUGAUGCAGCGACGCCGCGUGAGGGAUGGAGGCCUUCGGGUUGUGAACCUCUUUCGCUCAUGGUCAAGCCGCAACUCGUGGUUGUGGUGAGGGUAGUGGGUAAAGAAGCGCCGGCUAACUACGUGCCAGCAGCCGCGGUAAUACGUAGGGCGCGAGCGUUGUCCGGAAUUAUUGGGCGUAAAGGGCUUGUAGGCGGCUGGUCGCGUCUGCCGUGAAAUCCUCUGGCUCAGCUGGGGGCGUGCGGUGGGUACGGGCUGGCUUGAGUGCGGUAGGGGAGACUGGAACUCCUGGUGUAGCGGUGGAAUGCGCAGAUAUCAGGAGGAACACCGGUGGCGAAGGCGGGUCUCUGGGCCGUUACUGACGCUGAGGAGCGAAAGCGUGGGGAGCGAACAGGAUUAGAUACCCGUGUAGUC
RNAcentral lists this ribosomal RNA (458 nucleotides) under uncultured Actinomyces sp. Its description in RNAcentral is "bacterial SSU rRNA". It matches the Rfam family "Bacterial small subunit ribosomal RNA", at positions 338 to 795 of the family's 1533-position model. Lineage: Bacteria; Bacillati; Actinomycetota; Actinomycetes; Actinomycetales; Actinomycetaceae. The record is from RNAcentral.